RNAcentral lists this transfer RNA (76 nucleotides) under Limosilactobacillus fermentum. Its description in RNAcentral is "Lactobacillus fermentum tRNA-OTHER". It matches the Rfam family "tRNA". From Rfam's summary of the family: Transfer RNA (tRNA) molecules are approximately 80 nucleotides in length. Their secondary structure includes four short double-helical elements and three loops (D, anti-codon, and T loops). The record is from RNAcentral. Lineage: Bacteria; Bacillati; Bacillota; Bacilli; Lactobacillales; Lactobacillaceae.
GGGACGGUAGCUCAACCGGAUAGAGCAUUGGUCUUCUAACCAAAGGUUGUGGGUUCGAUUCCCACCCGUCUCAUCA